GAAGAAGACCAGACCGCCGCUGGUGCGAUGGCCGAAAGGCCGCACGGGAGGAAGGUCCGGACUGCAUAGGGCAGCGUAGCAGGUAACACCUGUCCGCCGUGAGGCGAGGAUCAGAGCAACAGAGACGAGUCGGCCGGCUUUUCCGCAAGGAGGGCCGGACGGGUGAAACGGGCAAUCUCUACGCGCAGCAAUGCCAAAUAGGCCGGCGAUGAUGUGGCCCCGCGGAGCCGGCGGGUAGGCAGCUUGAGCCCUCCAGCGAUGGAGGGCCUAGAGGAAUGGCGGUCCAUGGCGCCGGGCAACCGGUGGCCAUCACAGAAUCCGGCCUAUCGGUCUUCUUCCUCC
RNAcentral lists this RNase P RNA (342 nucleotides) under Burkholderiaceae bacterium. Its description in RNAcentral is "RNase P RNA component class A". It matches the Rfam family "Bacterial RNase P class A". Rfam says of the family: Ribonuclease P (RNase P) is a ubiquitous endoribonuclease, found in archaea, bacteria and eukarya as well as chloroplasts and mitochondria. Its best characterised activity is the generation of mature 5'-ends of tRNAs by cleaving the 5'-leader elements of precursor-tRNAs. The record is from RNAcentral. Lineage: Bacteria; Pseudomonadati; Pseudomonadota; Betaproteobacteria; Burkholderiales; Burkholderiaceae.